AAGGAGCACUUCUUACCAAGCCUGGCUUGUCAGAGGCCAGUACAUCAGCGAGUGUCUGAUGCUGGUUGCUCAUGGGUGGAACGUUGACUACUCGGCACGGUCGGUUCGUGAACCGCUAGUACUGCCUUCGGGGCUUGGAACGUGGGGAUCGGCUGAUGUGUCGGGCACGCUGUUGGGUAUCUGUGGGUGACGCGUUGCUCGUCCUUCGCGAUGCCGGCCCCAGUGAACUCAGCCUUCGGGUUGGGGUGGUGGGUGGCUGGUCGUUGCUUGAGAACUGCACAGUGGACGCGAGCAUCUGU
Molecule: unclassified non-coding RNA, 299 nt
Filed under: Streptomyces platensis
Lineage: Bacteria; Bacillati; Actinomycetota; Actinomycetes; Kitasatosporales; Streptomycetaceae
Description: partial 16S-23S ribosomal RNA gene spacer
Source: RNAcentral